GAUGAACGCUAGCUACAGGCUUAACACAUGCAAGUCGAGGGGAAACGGCAUUUAGUGCUUGCACUGAAUGGACGUCGACCGGCGCACGGGUGAGUAACGCGUAUCCAACCUACCCAUUACUGUGGGAUAACCUGCCGAAAGGCAGACUAAUACCGCAUAGUCUUCGAUGACGGCAUCAGAUUUGAAGUAAAGAUUUAUCGGUAAUGGAUGGGGAUGCGUCUGAUUAGCUUGUUGGCGGGGUAACGGCCCACCAAGGCAACGAUCAGUAAGGGUUCUGAGAGGAAGGUCCCCCACAUUGGAACUGAGACACGGUCCAAACUCCUACGGGAGGCAGCAGUGAGGAAUAUUGGUCAAUGGGCGCGAGCCUGAACCAGCCAAGUAGCGUGCAGGAUGACGGCCCUAUGGGUUGUAAACUGCUUUUGUAUGGGGAUAAAGUCAAUCACGUGUGAUUGUUUGCAGGUACCAUACGAAUAAGGACCGGCUAAUUCCGUGCCAGCAGCCGCGGUAAUACGGAAGGUCCGGGCGUUAUCCGGAUUUAUUGGGUUUAAAGGGAGCGUAGGCCGGAGAUUAAGUGUGUUGUGAAAUGUAGACGCUCAACGUCUGACUUGCAGCGCAUACUGGUUUCCUUGAGUACGCACAACGUUGGCGGAAUUCGUCGUGUAGCGGUGAAAUGCUUAGAUAUGACGAAGAACUCCGAUUGCGAAGGCAGCUGACGGGAGCGCUACUGACGCUAAAGCUCGAAAGGUGCGGGUAUCGAACAGG
This 762-nucleotide ribosomal RNA is filed under the name Prevotella melaninogenica. RNAcentral describes it as "bacterial SSU rRNA". It matches the Rfam family "Bacterial small subunit ribosomal RNA", at positions 28 to 776 of the family's 1533-position model. The record is from RNAcentral. Lineage: Bacteria; Pseudomonadati; Bacteroidota; Bacteroidia; Bacteroidales; Prevotellaceae.